AGCCCCGUAGUCUAGUGGUCAAAGAUCUGAGCCUCUGGAGCUCGGGACCCAGGUUCGAAUCCUGGCGGGGCUA
This 73-nucleotide transfer RNA is filed under the name archaeon. RNAcentral's name for it is "tRNA-Gln". It matches the Rfam family "tRNA". Rfam says of the family: Transfer RNA (tRNA) molecules are approximately 80 nucleotides in length. RNAcentral also lists the same sequence under 1 other name. The record is from RNAcentral.